UAAUUUUUCAUUCAGAUGUUGUAGUUUUUAUCUCUUUAAGUUACAUUUGGGUAUUUUUAUAUCUUCCAGUACCACUUCAUCAUGCUCUUAUUUUCUUCUAUCUUCUUGAACAUACAGAACGAACUUAUAAUAGUUAUCUUAACAUCCUUGUCUGCUAAUUUCAUCAUCCAUGCCAUUUCUGGCUCCAUUUCAAUUGAUCAACUUUUCUCCUGGAUAUGGAUCAUAUAUUUCUGCUUCCUUACAUGACUAUCAUUUGUUCAUGUCAGACACUGAAUUUCACAUUAGUGAGUUUUGGCUUUUGUUGUCUUCCUUUAAAUAGUGCUGGGAUUCAUUUUCUCGAGUAGUUAACUUACUUAAAAUCAGUGGAUCUGUGGGAGGCUUGCAUUUCAGUUUUGUUGGGGGAGGGGUCCAGGCCAGCCUUCAGUCUUAGUCUAGGUCUAAUGGUAAGUCAGGCUAAUACAGCAACUUGUCUAUGGGAGGCAGCUCCACCUCCAGUCUUGGCAGGUGGAAAAGAGCCCUGCUAUGGACUGAAUUGUGUCCCUCUAAAAUUCACAUGCUGAAGCCCCUAAAAUUCACAAUACAUGUGAAUGCAUUGGUGAUAGGGCUUUAAAGAGAUGAUUAAGGUUAAAUGAAGUCACAAAGGUGGCCUGGUCCAGUAGGACUGGUGGUCCUGUAAGAAAGAGAGGAAAAUCUCCCUCUCUCUCUUUGCCCUCCUCUCUCUCCCUUUCUCCCUGCCAUGUAAGCACACAGUGAGAAGGUGGCAGUCCGCAAGCCAGGAAGCCAAAUCAUCUGGCAGCUUCAUGUUGGAUGUUCAGCCUCUGGAACUGUGAGAAAAGAAAUUUCUGUUGUUUAAGCCAACCAGCAUACAGUAUUUUUGUUAUAGCAUUCUGAGCUGACUAAUACAACCAGGAGAGAGGUCAGAGAACUAAGAGGAGGAGGAAAUGCAUCUACAGACUCAAGAACAGCAUUUUCUGAGAAGUGUUCACAAAAAAACUAGUUCCCCAAGAUGUUGGCACACUUGUUGGGUCUGGGAUGGGCAGACAGGAAGCUUCUGUGACCAGACCCGGGGUCCUGUGUAACCCCAGUUCAUAUCUGCACCUACUUAUGAUAGAAUCGGGACCUGAGGACCACCUUUCGAAUAAGCUCACCCACCAUCUCAGAGAGACCUAGGUGUCAUCUUCCCCAGGCUACAAGCAUCCUCCAGAAGACACGUCCGCAGGCCAC
This is a long non-coding RNA of Manis pentadactyla (Chinese pangolin), 1224 nucleotides long. RefSeq lists it as uncharacterized. NCBI's taxonomy places the organism in Eukaryota, Metazoa, Chordata, Mammalia, Pholidota, Manidae. The record is from RefSeq and is a predicted model, not a curated record. The transcript is spliced from 3 exons.